This 382-nucleotide ribosomal RNA is filed under the name uncultured eukaryote. RNAcentral describes it as "partial 18S ribosomal RNA". It matches the Rfam family "Eukaryotic small subunit ribosomal RNA", at positions 592 to 976 of the family's 1831-position model. The record is from RNAcentral.
UGUAAGCGUAUACCAAAUUUGUUGCAGUUAAAACGCUCGUAGUCGGAAUUUGGCAGUUCCGGAUGUGUGCACGUCGUGUGCGCACUUCGCGGGGAUUGCUUUUGUGGUCUUGCGUAGGAUGAGGCACUUUUAUUAGUGAACGUCCUCACGCAACCACUUUUUACUGUGAGAAAAUCAGAGUGCUCAAAGCAGGCAUUUGCCGUGAAUGUAUUAGCAUGGAAUAAUAGAAUAGGACUUGGUUCUAUUUUGUUGGUUUGUUGGGACUGAGUAAUGAUUAAGAGGGACAGUUGGGGGCAUUUGUAUUUCGGUGCUAGAGGUGAAAUUCUUAGAUUACCGAAAGACAAACUGCUGCGAAAGCGUCUGCCAAGGAUGUUUUCAUUGA